Molecule: long non-coding RNA, 757 nt
Organism: Ictalurus furcatus (blue catfish)
Lineage: Eukaryota; Metazoa; Chordata; Actinopteri; Siluriformes; Ictaluridae
Exons: 4
Source: RefSeq, a predicted model, not a curated record
GCUGGAGAGGGCGUGAGACGUCGCACAUGGGCCAUGGACAGGAUGCUAGGCUGAAAGAGCAGCAAAACAUGAAGGAAGAAACAUCAUAUGAUGUAACAUCUUAGCUACAAAGCAAAUUCGUACUCCACUGAAGAGUGCUCCAUUCAGUGUUCCAAAGGAAGAUAAUGCUGCUGCAAUAGACAUCACCCAUCCCCAGCUGCCCAGCACCUUAUUGCUGUUCUCAGAGAAAAGAUGGUGAUCUUCAGAGUCAUGACGGCCAGAUAACUGAUAUUGACCAGCAAGUAGAGGAUGGUAACCAUUGGGAUGGCAAUCAUUAAUGCCCGGGGUAGAUUUACCUUUCACAAAUGGAUAUAAUGUAAAAUUAAGUACAGUUAUUUGUUGAUAUUUACAAAAUAAUCAUUCAUGCAGUUCUAGAUGUCCCACCAACUUGGAUUUCUAUUUCCUCUGGAGCAUAUCUUUGGUCAACACCCUUUCAACACUUAAUAUCAAAUUGCCUUUACACUUUAACACCUGUAUACUGAAUUGAUUUGUAAUCCCACUAUCUGGUCGGAUUUGUAUAGACUCGUCACUCCUGUGGGGAGAUACCAACUAGUCGGGCAGUAGGAAAAAAAAACAGCAAGGCCGACUGACACAAAGUUUAAAUUGUACCAUCCUGCGAAAGACCAGAGUCCCUGAUACAGAGCCAUUCCAAUGGUACUGAUUUCCAAAGUUGUACCCUUAAAGGCAAUGUCUGGAUUUUCAAGGUUUUCUAGGCCAU